This 1312-nucleotide ribosomal RNA is filed under the name human gut metagenome. Its description in RNAcentral is "bacterial LSU rRNA". It matches the Rfam family "Bacterial large subunit ribosomal RNA", at positions 979 to 2317 of the family's 2925-position model. The record is from RNAcentral.
GGGAGUCAGACUGUACGAGAUAAGUUGGACAGUCAAAAGGGAAAGAGCCCAGACCGCCGGCUAAGGUCCCAAAGUGGGUGUUAAGUGGAAAAGGAUGUGGGAUCUCUAAGACAACCAGGAUGUUGGCUCAGAAGCAGCCAUUCAUUAAAAGAGUGCGUAACAGCUCACUGGUCGAGAGGUCCUGCGCCGAAAAUGUCCGGGGCUGAAACACCACACCGAAGCCGCGGAACUCGUAAGAGUUGGUAGAGGAGCAUUCUUAGGGGAGGGAAGCAUUACCGGAAGGGGAUGUGGACUGCUAAGAAGAGAGAAUGCCGGAAUGAGUAGCGAGAGCAAGGUGGGAAUCCUUGCGGCCGAAUAUCCAAGGUUUCCAGAGUAAAGCUGAUCUGCUCUGGGUAAGUCGGGGCCUAAGGAGAGGCAGAGAUGCGUAUCCGAUGGACAGCAGGUAAAAGAUUCCUGCACCCCUUGUUAUCAGAACUGCGGGGACACGGGAAGGGAAGCAGAGCCGGGAAUGGAAAGCCCGGUGCAAGCGAAGUAGUCGCAGGAUUGGAAAAUCCGUCCUGCAUGAGACGAAGGCGUGAUGCGGAGCGAAACGAAGUAGCGAAGCUGCGGCCCCUUCCUGUCGAGAAAAGCCGCUAUCGUGUAGCAAGGGCCCGUACCGUAAACCGACACAGGUGGAUGAGGAGAGGAUCCUAAGGCCGGCGGGAGAAGUGUUGUUAAGGAACUCGGCAAAAUGACUCCGUAACUUCGGGAGAAGGAGUGCUGCGCAAGCAGCCGCAGAGAAAUGGCCCAAGCAACUGUUUAGCAAAAACACAGGUCUAUGCGAAACCGAAAGGUGAGGUAUAUGGGCUGACGCCUGCCCGGUGCUGGAAGGUUAAGGGGAGAGGUUAGCGCAAGCGAAGCUUUGAACUUAAGCCCCAGUAAACGGCGGCCGUAACUAUAACGGUCCUAAGGUAGCGAAAUUCCUUGUCGGGUAAGUUCCGACCCGCACGAAAGGCGUAAUGAUUUGGGCACUGUCUCAACAACACACCCGGUGAAAUUGAAAUACCAGUGAAGAUGCUGGUUACCCGCGCCAGGACGGAAAGACCCCAUGGAGCUUUACUCCAGCCUGAUACUGGGAUUCGGUAUUGCAUGUACAGGAUAGGUGGGAGGCUAAGAACUUAUGGCGCCAGCCGUAAGGGAGCCGGUGUUGGGAUACCACCCCUGCAGUACUGGGUUUCUAACCUGCGCCCGUGACCCGGGCGGGGGACAAUGUCAGGCGGGGAGUUUGACUGGGGCGGUCGCCUCCGAAAGGGUAUCGGAGGCGCUCAAAGGU